Molecule: small RNA, 565 nt
Filed under: Pan troglodytes (chimpanzee)
Lineage: Eukaryota; Metazoa; Chordata; Mammalia; Primates; Hominidae
Description: retained intron
Source: RNAcentral
UUUUUGCCCGGAAAGAGGCGCUCUCGUUCGGGUCUCCCAGUUUCUGUUUUUGGAGUUGACAGCAGUUUUAAAUAUUGGAUACUGAAGUCUUUAUUUUCGUGUGUUUCGUGUAAGAGGCGUUUUGGAUUUACUUACGCGUUUAGAGAAAAUGGCAGACGAUAUUGAUAUUGAAGCAAUGCUUGAGGCUCCUUACAAGAAGGUGAGAAAAAACAUGUCAGUGAGGUUUAUAUAUUUCUUAAUUUAGCAUUAUUCACGAAACUACUGCUGAAAUGUAAACUAACCUCCCCGGAGCCCUCUUGAUUUAUCUUAUCAGAGAUGCAUUACGUGUAACUUACAAAAGUAAAUAUUUGCUAUUGAUGUAAUAAUAUUGUGCAGUAGUUUCACUUCAGCGUGAUGAAUAAAUGCCCAUCUAUCUCUCUUUGUAGACUUGCCUAACGAUAUCUCACCUCUACUCCCAUGAAUUCACCUUUGAUUCCAGUGUGAACUGUCAAUCAUAAGGUAGUAAUUGAGUGACUUAUCGCUGUACCGUGGUCCCCUAGGUAAAAUGACUCAACUAAGAAUUACC